RNAcentral lists this ribosomal RNA (647 nucleotides) under Rhodanobacter sp. FW104-R5. RNAcentral's name for it is "bacterial LSU rRNA". It matches the Rfam family "Bacterial large subunit ribosomal RNA", at positions 2245 to 2887 of the family's 2925-position model. Lineage: Bacteria; Pseudomonadati; Pseudomonadota; Gammaproteobacteria; Lysobacterales; Rhodanobacteraceae. The record is from RNAcentral.
UCAGGGACCGUGUAUGGUGGGUAGUUUGACUGGGGCGGUCUCCUCCCAAAGAGUAACGGAGGAGCACGAAGGUACGCUCAGCGCGGUCGGACAUCGCGCACUGUGUGCAAAGGCAUAAGCGUGCUUGACUGCGAGAUCGACGGAUCAAGCAGGUACGAAAGUAGGUCUUAGUGAUCCGGUGGUUCUGUAUGGAAGGGCCAUCGCUCAACGGAUAAAAGGUACUCCGGGGAUAACAGGCUGAUACCGCCCAAGAGUUCAUAUCGACGGCGGUGUUUGGCACCUCGAUGUCGGCUCAUCACAUCCUGGGGCUGUAGCCGGUCCCAAGGGUAUGGCUGUUCGCCAUUUAAAGUGGUACGCGAGCUGGGUUCAGAACGUCGUGAGACAGUUCGGUCCCUAUCUGUCGUGGGCGUUGGAGAUUUGAGGGGGGCUGCUCCUAGUACGAGAGGACCGGAGUGGACGUUCCGCUGGUGUUCGGGUUGUCUCGCCAGAGGCAUUGCCCGGUAGCUAUGAACGGAAGUGAUAACCGCUGAAAGCAUCUAAGCGGGAAGCACGCCCCAAGAUGAGAUCUCCCGAGAGCUUGACUCUCCUUAAGGCACCAUCAAGACCAGGUGGUUGAUAGGUCAGGUGUGGAAGCGCAGCAAUGCGUU